UGUGGUGGGAGCAUUCAGUCGGGGUGAUGAGACGAUCGUUGGGACGAACAGGGUACCCGCGACGGGACCGUCCCGGCGUUCGGUUCGAGUCUCACCGACGCAUUUGCUUCCCGCCCGAAGGACGCCGCAACCGGUUGGGGGACGGCCUUAAGGGCGAGAGCCGGCAGGUGGCCGGUGGCGUGCCUCGUGCGCGUCGCCGGCUGUUAGCCUUCUCGUCACAUGGCUCGUACCCCGACCCUUGGCAAGAAAGAGGCCUAUGACUAGGCUUGGACGUCUCCUCCUAUGGAAGCGUGACAGAAACGCGACAGGGGACUGACAGGUUUGCUGGCGCACGGACCGACUCCGUGGCAUUGCUUUCCGUCGUCCUCGUUGGUUGUGUAAGGCGCGCGGGAGUGUUGACGGUUAGCGGCGAGUAGAUCGGUCACCCACCCGACCCGUCUUGAAACACGGACCAAGGAGUGC
RNAcentral lists this ribosomal RNA (462 nucleotides) under Diplostyla concolor. RNAcentral describes it as "eukaryotic LSU rRNA". The record is from RNAcentral. Lineage: Eukaryota; Metazoa; Arthropoda; Arachnida; Araneae; Linyphiidae.